UGGGGUGCUAGAGUGGCGAACGGGUGGGUAACACGUGAGUAACCUGCCCUUGACUUUGGGAUAACUUCAGGAAACUGGGGCUAAUACCGGAUAGGAGCUCCUGCUGCAUGGUGGGGGUUGGAAAGUUUCGGCGGUUGGGGAUGGACUCGCGGCUUAUCAGCUUGUUGGUGGGGUAGUGGCUUACAAAGGCUUUGACGGGUAGCCGGCCUGAGAGGGUGACCGGCCACAUUGGGACUGAGAUACGGCCCAG
Molecule: ribosomal RNA, 250 nt
Filed under: uncultured Actinomycetales bacterium
Lineage: Bacteria; Bacillati; Actinomycetota; Actinomycetes; Actinomycetales
Description: partial 16S ribosomal RNA
Rfam family: Bacterial small subunit ribosomal RNA
Source: RNAcentral